RNAcentral lists this ribosomal RNA (206 nucleotides) under uncultured bacterium. RNAcentral's name for it is "partial 16S ribosomal RNA". It matches the Rfam family "Bacterial small subunit ribosomal RNA", at positions 568 to 774 of the family's 1533-position model. The record is from RNAcentral.
UGCGUAGGUGGUUUCUUAAGUCAGAGGUGAAAGGCUACGGCUCAACCGUAGUAAGCCUUUGAAACUGGGAAACUUGAGUGCAGGAGAGGAGAGUGGAAUUCCUGGUGUAGCGGUGAAAUGCGUAGAUAUUAGGAGGAACACCAGUUGCGAAGGCGGCUCUCUGGACUGUAACUGACACUGAGGCACGAAAGCGUGGGGAGCAAACA